CCAUCAGUCAGACUGGUCCAGUCAGUGUCUGUAAUAAUAGCCCCAUCAGUCAGACUGGUCCAGUCAGUGUCUGUAAUAAUAGCCCCAUCGGUCAGACUGGUCCUGUUCAGUCCAGUCAGUGUCUGUAAUAAUAGCCCCAUCGGUCAGACUGGUCCUGUUCAGUCCAGUCAGUGUCUGUAAUAAUAGCCCCAUCAGUCAGACUGGUCCAGUCAGUGUCUGUAAUAAUAGCCCCAUCGGUCAGACUGGUCCUGUUCAGUCCAGUCAGUGUCUGUAAUAAUAGCCCCAUCGGUCAGACUGGUCCUGUUCUGUCCAGUCAGUGUCUGUUCAAAUAGCCCCAUCAGUCUGACUGGUCCAGUCAGUGUCUGUAAUAAUAGCCCCAUCAGUCAGACUGGUCCAGUCAGUGUCUGUAAUAAUAGCCCCAUCGGUCAGACUGGUCCUGUUCAGUCCAGUCAGUGUCUGUAAUAAUAGCCCCAUCGGUCAGACUGGUCCUGUUCAGUCCAGUCAGUGUCUGUAAUAAUAGCCCCAUCGGUCAGACUGAAGAGCUGCCGACGAAAGGCGUCUGCUUUCCUGUGAGGUGGAGAGGAGAGGACCCUAGGGGCUGUAAGCUUGAUCAGAACCUUUGAAUGGGAGGAUGGAGUGACAUUUUAGGUGUUCUAAGCCGUCUGGGCAAGGCGCAAGGUUAAAUCGUAGAUUAGGCAAGUGUGUCUUUCUGUCAACACGAUGGUCACGAUUGGUCACAUCUGGAUGGCCCCCAGCUGCAAACCAGAGAGAGAACCAAACCAUUGAAUUGCUGAGGUCAGGAAUGUUCUGCCGGUGACCCUGUGGAACUCUGUGGGCCGGAUCAAGAAUGUUCUACCGGUGACCCUGUGGAAUUCUGUGGGAUGUCACCAUUAAUCAGUCCUUGGCUGACUGUUGUGUUCUCGGUUCUCUGUCCUGUUAGUGCCCUUCGGUUGCCCCAAGCAACCAGAGAGAGGUCAAUGUUUUUUUUUUUUCUCUCUCUCGUCUUCCAUUCCAUCUGAAGUUCCUCACCCGAGGUUCCAUCAGAGAGUUACCUGCCCAGAAAACGGCUCCGGUUCCACACGCAUCUGUGCCAGGGCUCUCUGGGCAGUGUGUUGAUGUGCAUGGUAUGGUCAGUGUGUUGGUAAUGUGUGUGGUAUGGUCAGUGUUGUGUUGAUGAUGUGUGUGGUAAGGUCAGUGUGUUGAUGAUGUGUGUGUGGUGAUUCCUGUCGUGUCAUGAUAUGUCAAUCAUUGCCGGAGCCAAAGAAGUCUGUUGGCGCUUUAGAACUCUCUGAAUGUAUUACUCUUCCUCGUGGGCUGUGGAGUAAUAAAGAACCC
Clupea harengus (Atlantic herring) is the source of this 1335-nucleotide long non-coding RNA. The record is from Ensembl. Lineage: Eukaryota; Metazoa; Chordata; Actinopteri; Clupeiformes; Clupeidae.